Molecule: small nucleolar RNA, 134 nt
Organism: Parambassis ranga (Indian glassy fish)
Lineage: Eukaryota; Metazoa; Chordata; Actinopteri; Ambassidae
Product: small nucleolar RNA SNORA3/SNORA45 family
Source: Ensembl
AGCGAGGCUAGAGUCACGCCUGAACACUGACCUGUUGUUCUGGUGUGCUAGAGUGCUCGCAGAGAAACUGCUCUUUGCUUAUUCAUUGGCUGUAGUCUGAUGUGGCCCAGUCAAUCACCGGCUCAGAUACACUA